CACGCCCUAAACGAUGCGAACUGGAUGUUGGGUGCAAUUUGGCACGCAGUAUCGAAGCUAACGCGUUAAGUUCGCCGCCUGGGGAGUACGGUCGCAAGACUGAAACUCAAAGGAAUUGACGGGGGCCCGCACAAGCGGUGGAGUAUGUGGUUUAAUUCGAUGCAACGCGAAGAACCUUACCUGGCCUUGACAUGCACGGAACUUUCCAGAGAUGGAUUGGUGCCUUCGGGAACCGUGACACAGGUGC
RNAcentral lists this ribosomal RNA (247 nucleotides) under uncultured bacterium. Its description in RNAcentral is "partial 16S ribosomal RNA". It matches the Rfam family "Bacterial small subunit ribosomal RNA", at positions 796 to 1041 of the family's 1533-position model. The record is from RNAcentral. RNAcentral also lists the same sequence under 1 other name.